GGCGGUCCUAUACAUGCAGUAGAACGCUGAAAGGAGGAGCUUGCUUCUCUGGAUGAGUUGCGAACGGGUGAGUAACGCGUAGGUAACCUGCCUGGAUCUCGGGGGAUAACUAUUGAAAACGAUAGCUAAUACCGCAUAAUAGCACAUGUUGCAUGACAUUGGCUUAUAAUGUGCUAUUGCGUCACUACCAGAUGGACCUGCAUUGUAUUACCUAGUUGGUGGGGUAACGGCUCGCCAAGGCUACCAUACAUAACCAACCUGAGAGGAUGAUCGACCACGCUGGGACUGACACACACUCCAAACUCCUACAGAAUGCAACAGUAGGGAAUCUUCGGCAAUGGACGGAAAUCUGACCGAGCAACACCGCGCGACUGAACAAGGUUUUCGGAUCGUAUAGCUCUGUUGUAAUAUAAUAACAAAUGUGAAAGUGUAAAAUUCACACUGUGACGCUCUCUUACCAGAAAGGGACGGAUAACUACGUGCCACCACCCGCCGUAAUACGUAGGUCCCCAGCGUUGUCCAGAUUUAUUGGGCGUAAAUCGACCGCAGGCGGUUACAUAAGUCUGAAUUUAAAUGCUGUGGCUUGACCAUACUACACUUUGGAAACUGUUUAACUCUAGUGCACUAGGGGGACAGUGGAAUACAAUGUGUAUCCAUGAAAUGCGUAGAUAUAUGGAGGAACACCGAUGGCGAAAGCGGCUCUCUGGGGUUGCAACUGACUCUGAGGCUCGCUAACGUGCGGAAGCAAACAGGGAUUAAAUACCCUUGGUAUUCCACGCCCGUAACCGAUGAGUGACUAAGUGGUUACACCCUUUUCCGGCGCUUUAUUGGCCGCAUCAUAACCCCAUUAAUACACUCCUUCCUGGGGAGUACUGACCGCAAAGGGUGCAACCUCGAUAGGAAAUUCACAGGGG
RNAcentral lists this ribosomal RNA (914 nucleotides) under uncultured bacterium. RNAcentral describes it as "bacterial SSU rRNA". It matches the Rfam family "Bacterial small subunit ribosomal RNA", at positions 41 to 919 of the family's 1533-position model. The record is from RNAcentral.